GAAAUGCGAUAAGUAGUGUGAAUUGCAGAAUUCAGUGAAUCAUCGAAUCUUUGAACGCACAUUGCGCCCCUUGGUAUUCCAUGGGGCAUGCCUGUUCGAGCGUCAUUUGUACCCUCAAGCUCUGCUUGGUGUUGGGUGUUUGUCCCCGUCUCCGCGCGUGGACUCGCCCCAAAGUGAUUGGCAGCCGGCGUACUGGUCCCGGAGCGCAGCACAUGUCGCGCAAACGAGUGCCUUGGUACGGCGGCGUCCAUAAGCCCCUCUCUCACGCUCUUGACCUCGGAUCGGGUAGGGAUACCCGCUGAACUUAAGC
RNAcentral lists this unclassified non-coding RNA (310 nucleotides) under plant metagenome. RNAcentral describes it as "partial contains 5.8S ribosomal RNA, internal transcribed spacer 2, and large subunit ribosomal RNA". The stretch from base 1 to 105 matches the Rfam family "5.8S ribosomal RNA", at positions 50 to 154 of the family's 154-position model. The record is from RNAcentral.